This 222-nucleotide long non-coding RNA is filed under the name Elaeis guineensis (African oil palm). RNAcentral's name for it is "long non-coding RNA (EGUI_LNC003995)". Lineage: Eukaryota; Viridiplantae; Streptophyta; Magnoliopsida; Arecales; Arecaceae. The record is from RNAcentral.
UCAUCAACAAAGUCAUCCAAAAGAUCAGUAUUCAGCAUCCGACAUUCCUAUCCACCAGCAACAACAGUAUUCAUCAGAAAAUCGAUAUUCAACAGUUCAUCAACAGUUAGCACCAUCCAUUCCUCUAAUUCCUCUUGGAUUUGAAGAUGUGUAUAGAGGUAGGCCAGGAUGUAGAAGAAGCACGCCACCACUACAAUAACUAAAGCAAUCCAACAUCCCAGC